AAACCGGUGUUUCUCAACACCACCACGAACAAACGGUCAAUGUUGG
Chlamydomonas reinhardtii is the source of this 46-nucleotide non-coding RNA. NCBI's taxonomy places the organism in Eukaryota, Viridiplantae, Chlorophyta, Chlorophyceae, Chlamydomonadales, Chlamydomonadaceae. The record is from Rfam.